UACGAAGGGUGCAAGCGUUAAUCGGAAUUACUGGGCGUAAAGCGUGCGUAGGCGGUCUUUUAAGUCCGUUGUGAAAGCCCUGGGCUCAACCUGGGAAUGGCAGUGGAUACUGGAAGGCUGGAGUACGGUAGAGGAGGGUGGAAUUCCCGGUGUAGCGGUGAAAUGCGUAGAGAUCGGGAGGAACAUCAGUGGCGAAGGCGGCCCUCUGGACCAGUACUGACGCUGAGGCACGAAAGCGUGGGGAGCAAACAGG
Molecule: ribosomal RNA, 253 nt
Filed under: uncultured bacterium
Lineage: Bacteria
Description: partial 16S ribosomal RNA
Rfam family: Bacterial small subunit ribosomal RNA
Source: RNAcentral